Molecule: long non-coding RNA, 907 nt
Organism: Nicotiana attenuata
Lineage: Eukaryota; Viridiplantae; Streptophyta; Magnoliopsida; Solanales; Solanaceae
Exons: 2
Source: RefSeq, a predicted model, not a curated record
UUUUGCCCUAUUAUCUAUUUCAUCACUCCUCUCUUUACUCUCUCGUCUCUCAAUGAACCACCCACCGCCCGCCGCCCCUACUCCGCCGGAAAUCGCCCACCGGCGGGGGACGACCUCCAAUCAACCCCAUUUUUUCUCCAUCUCCUUCUAUCCUCCUCCUCUUUCCAUAUCUCUAACCCAAAUCCUCAAACUCGCUCUCAAACUCCACCAAAUCCGGCCAAAUCCGAAACCCUAGCCUCCAAAAUUUUCUUUCUUUCUUUCUCAAUUUCGUGAUGAAUCAGCGACUCCCCCCACAUAGCCUCACAUGAACAUGUAUAUCUCUAAGAUAUCCACACUUCCCCUUUAAUUUUACCCCCAAAAUCCGUCCCCCACCACUGCCGACCACCCCGCUGCCGCGACCACCCAAGACCACCAGUGCUUCUCCACUCUAGCUUCAUCUCGACUUAAAAGCACUCGUUCCCUUCUAGCAUGACGCCAAAACUUGUUUGUUUUGGCGCCUGCUAAAAGGAAACGUGCGCUUCAAUAUCGGACAGUCACGGCUCGUUGUCCUCGGCAUCUCCUCGUUCGAUUUGGCAUCGACUUCCCUUGUUUGGUAAUCCUUUAAGACUCGUAAUGUAUAUCUUUUCAGCAACGGGAACAACUUGAACCUGCCGCACCAUUUAAUGUGUUUGAUAUGAUGAUAGUUUGACAACAAAAGAGCUUGGAUAUUAUUGUUAUAUAUCAAGCAUGUAAUAACGUGAAUAUAGUCCUUUAUAAUACUUGAAUAUCGAGUUGUAAGUUUUUUAAUGUGAUAUGUAAGUCGUUUCUAGAUUUUUAAGCAUGUUUACAAGCUAUUGUAUCCGAGUAACAAUGCUAAGUAUGCCAUGAAUGACUUUAGGUGUAUAACACAUAGCAUGAUUUCGUUUUA